UACAUGCCCUACAUCUCUCAGAGG
This 24-nucleotide non-coding RNA is filed under the name Arabidopsis thaliana (thale cress). The record is from RNAcentral. Lineage: Eukaryota; Viridiplantae; Streptophyta; Magnoliopsida; Brassicales; Brassicaceae.